AAAUUUCUGCUCGGGGCUUCGGGGCGUCAUUUUGACUCGAAGUUCAGCAAAGCACAUAUUGAAAGAACAUGCAGAACUUCGCUUUUCAACGAUAUUUUCGAAGUAAAAUGGUCAUACUAUGCUGAAGGAAAGGUUAGUAUUAAAUUUAUACAUCUUUUAAACGUUUGUGAGUUGUUUUUGUUAAGUUAUUGAGUGUUGUUUGGAAGUUAAAAGUUAAAACGCGUGCUACAACUAUUCAUUGUCGUUGAAUUCGCUUCGCGUUCAAGCGCCCCUGGUUCUCGCUUCGUCGCUUCAUUUCCUUAGUAUUUCUCGCUCAUUUUCUAGCAGUAAUGUGCAGAAAUAUCUCUGCUUUAAUUCAUGUAACUCAUAUUUGUUUUAUCUGCGGUUUCAGAGGAAAGAAUUGACGAGAAAGUGAACUGAUUUAAGUCGUCGACAUAUGUCAAAGACGAAGGCUCGAACCACGCGGUAAGCAUAUGGGCGCCAUUAGAGGUUUUUGCUUUUUUUAUUGCUCUUUUUUAAGCUUCCCUUGUACAACUUUUACUGUUGAAGCCUCACGAACGCGCUGAGUUAUGUUUAGUCGGAAAAUGUGUUGAAAAUUUUAUCCGUAUUAUAUAUUGAGUGUAAUUCCGAAUCAUUUUAUUAGGCAUGUUUAAUUAUACAUGCAUACUUCUUGUUUGUUGCUCGCUUUCUGGACUUUUUCGUACCCAACUAUAGAAUAUUUCGUAGCAUUACUCGGCUAGAACCGAAAAUUUGAGUUAAGUUUAGUAAAACUUUGCGGCUUUGGUGAAAAUUUUAGCGUUGGUAACUCGUGGGAAAUGCCGGAUCCAUAUAUUUCAGGAUCGGAAUUUUCAAUGACGCAUAUAUUUCCAAACAUUUUAGCUUGUUUGUAGUUUAUGUACAAAAUAGUGUCGGAGAGGAAAAGGUUGAACUUUUAAUUUUUUGAGAAUUUCUAAGUUGAAUUUAAUCCGAAUUUUUUUUGAUGAAAUUUAAAAGGUCAAGUGGCUUCUGACAGCAUGCAUGCACGAAUUUUUUCAGAUAAAUUGAUGGGCCGGGAAUAUUUAGUUAAAGGGGCAAUGUCACCGAUUUUUGAGCAAUUUUAACCCUCGCAAAUUUUGCCCAAAACUGAAAAAGAAUGAGUGUAAGCACAAAAUAAAGCAAUAACAGACACAAAAAACAUGGACAGAAGUCUGGAUGGGCAAGAUUACGCCAGGAUUGAGAUGGAUUGUAAAUGGCAUCUUCAUUAAUUGUUGGCGGACACUUUUUCAAGUUUUAGUCAAUUUUUUAUGAAAAUGUCAUGUUACGUGUUGCGUGGAAGUUCAAAGUUGUUUAAUAUGACUCCUAUAUCAUAACUUAAUCCAUUUACAAUGUUUAUUUUUAACUUUGUAGUUCAGUUUUUGAAUAAAAGGCAUUUUAGGUCAAAAAUCUGUGACAUUGCCUCUUUAAAGCCUAGCUAGUUUUCAUUCAAUCGUAAAUAUCGCAAGUGACACGUCGCAAGACUCGUAAAAAUAGCAUGGUUGCGAUUUCUGCGAUUGGGAUUGGUCCGAUGCUUGCGAUGACACGACUCUAAAUAGAUCAUCAUUGACUGUGAAACAUUGAAAUUGACAAAAGUUUAUUUUUCCAAACUUUUUAGGCAGCCUCAAGACCAAUCAUCUUGCUUUGGAAGAGACAUUAGCAUUGCAUUCAAAAGACAACAACUGAACGACAAAACCAGCUAGUCUCAGUCUAGACCUAGGCAUUCAUCGUCCGAUUUCGUCUGUGCCAAAUUUGGAGGGAUCGCUACUCGCGCAUGAGGUGUGAAGUCGCAACUGGUGAUGCAUCGGAGACUGUAACUAACGCACAAAAACCUCCGUGUGACAGUAAUGGGCAAAUAUAACAGUUGAUGUAAAGACUGCAAUCCACUACCAGUACUACCGGCGCUGUGCCAUCCAGGGAUGCUAACCAGAGACACUGACAGCACGUCGCAUCAUUGUCUGAGAAGUGAAGCAUCGAUGCAUACUACUUCGCCUACAAUACUUGCAACAACGUUGUAAUACACAAGGUAUGUACAAUGUAAAUUUCCUUGCGGUUUGCCGGGCAGCUGCCUGUAUUAAAAUAACUACUUUCUCACUCUGAUAACUGCUGGGCCGCCCAAAGGUGACGGGGGUGGACACUUUGCCCCGGGCCCCUCCCCCCAGCUCAAAAAGGGCCCCAAAAGCGACGAAGGCCUUUAAAUGUUUAGAUAGAAGAUCAUUGCUUAACUGAGAAUAUAAAUCCUAGUUGCGUUAGCGUCGCAUAAUAUGCAAUAAAAUGUAUAUAUAUAUAUAGUGUAAAACACCGCUUCUGCCUUUACGAUUAUGACGUCAUAGGGGGGGCUUGAAAAGUUAUGCCCCAGUCCUCGCGCAACCUCUCCGCGACCCUGACUGUAGGUCCAUCGGAUUCUGUGACUUAUGUAUGCUUUCAUUUCUUUCAUUGCAGAUUCUCGUUAGUCGUGUUCGAAAAUACGUGGGGCCACCCUGAGGACGCUCAUUUGCACAAAACAAAUUUAAACCUGGCGCUUUUUUCGAUGAUUUCGACAAUUUUUUCACAUUUCUUAGUUUUUGUGAGAAGCUCUUAAUGAAAUCGAAAAGUUUUGAAAUUCGGAAGAUUUUAUCUGGG
RNAcentral lists this long non-coding RNA (2634 nucleotides) under Paramuricea clavata. Lineage: Eukaryota; Metazoa; Cnidaria; Anthozoa; Malacalcyonacea; Plexauridae. The record is from RNAcentral.